GGCGGCGUGCUUAAUACAUGCAAGUCGAACGGGGUCCAACCGGUGGCAACACCGGGGAAGACCUAGUGGCGAACGGGUGAGUAACACGUGAGCAACCUGCCCCGAAGACCGGGAUAACAGCGGGAAACUGCUGCUAAUACUGGAUAUCCCCAUCUGACCGCAUGAUCGGAUGAGGAAAUGAAUUUCGCUUCGGGAGGGGCUCGCGGGCUAUCAGCUUGUUGGUGAGGUAACGGCUCACCAAGGCAGCGACGGCUAGCUGGUCUGAGAGGACGACCAGCCACACUGGGACUGAGACACGGCCCAGACUCCUACGGGAGGCAGCAGUAGGGAAUCUUGCGCAAUGGGCGAAAGCCUGACGCAGCAACGCCGCGUGGGGGAUGAAGGCUCUCGGGUUGUAAACCCCUUUCAGCAGGGACGAAAUUGACGGUACCUGCAGAAGAAGCCCCGGCCAACUACGUGCCAGCAGCCGCGGUAAUACGUA
Molecule: ribosomal RNA, 481 nt
Filed under: uncultured Actinomycetes bacterium
Lineage: Bacteria; Bacillati; Actinomycetota; Actinomycetes
Description: bacterial SSU rRNA
Rfam family: Bacterial small subunit ribosomal RNA
Source: RNAcentral